Neolamprologus brichardi is the source of this 3422-nucleotide non-coding RNA. The record is from RefSeq and is a predicted model, not a curated record. Lineage: Eukaryota; Metazoa; Chordata; Actinopteri; Cichliformes; Cichlidae.
AUGGCUGCACCUAUAGCACAUUUCGACGACGACUGGCCGAACCUGGGUGAUCCGAGCAUGGUGUCACAGGAAGGGCUGCUGCCGCAGAAAGGCCGUGUCGCCGCCGCCGCCGUGAGCGAAGCGGCGCCCGAAUCGCUCCUGUUUGGCGGUGAUGAUGAUGAUGAUCUGCACGACAGCAGCUUCUCCCCUAGAGAGAACGCGGGGUUCCGGUCCAUGGAGGAUCUGGUGAACGAUUUCGAUGAGAAGUUAACCACGUGCUUCCAAAUUUUUGACGCCAAGACGGAGAGCAUCGCUCCCGUGGCCGUGAUCGCCGAGGACACGCUGCUGGAGAAAGACGACAUCUGGAACACUUUGACGGCUAACUACGGACAUGUGAUGCCGGUGGACUGGAAACGUUCUCGAACGCGCUCCCUCCACGUUCCCACAAUCGACCUGGAGGAGAAACCCAGAAAGGCAGAUGUCGCGUUGGAGCUGUCCGACGAUGAGGAGCUCAGGGAUCAGCUAGACAUGCACGCCAUCAUUGUUUCCUGCAUCGCAGAGGAGCCCCUUUUCACAGCAGAGCAGGUUAUUGAGGAGAUAGAGGAAAUGAUGCAGGACUCUCCUGACAUGGAGGCAGAGCAUAAUCCGUCACAGUCGGACCUGUCGAUGCUCUCUGUGGACGUCCAGCAGCCCAACAGCUGCCCUGACUACGAGGAGAGGAUGAAAGCCUUGAGCAUUGCAGAGCUGAAUGAGCGUCUGGAGGAGACUGAAAUGAAGAUCAGGAGGUUUUCAGAGGAGCUGGUUCAGCAGCUGGCUCUCAGGGACGAGCUGGACUUUGAGAAAGAGGUGAAGAACAGUUUCAUCUCAGCCCUCAUCGACGUGCAGAACCGGCAGAAGGAGUACCGCGAGGCGCUCAAGAAGAAGAAGAAGCUUAAAGGUGGAGCUGGGACAUCGCAAGGUCUUCCGGAGAAAACAUCUCGCUUCAGCAUGGAGGGGAUCUCCUCUGUUAUCCAAAACAGUUUCCGUCAAACUUUUGGGAGCGGGUGCAGUGAGAGACAGUAUUUGACCACAGUCAUCCCUUACGAGAAGAAGGGACAUCCUCCUUCGAUUGAAGACCUCCAGAUAUUGACCAAGAUUCUGCAAGCUAUGAGAGAUGAUAGUGACAAGGUGCCCAGCCUCCUAACAGACUACAUUCUCAAAGGUGAGCUUUUCUCUUGUGUUGUUACACAGGCUGCUUUACAUUUGAAGUAAAAUAACAUCACAGAGAGACUCCCAACAAUCCCGUGUUGGCAGUAUGUCUGCAUAUGUCACCCUUGUUCCACAUAACCCAAAAGAUCAAUAGCAGUCAAUUAUUACUGUGCUGAUGACGUAAGCUCAAAGGGACGCGGCUGCGGUUAUAUAUGCUGCGAACAUAUGUUGUGAAUCAUUGAUGCUCAAAUUCGUUUGAUUUCAGUUCAUUACAAAAUCCUCUGAAAGCUUCAACGUGAGUUUUUAACUCCAAGCUAGACUGUGAGAGUUUUAAACAAGCCUUUAGGGGGUGACUUUGGCCUGUGUACAGUGAUGAAAGCGGGUCUUCUCUAUUACCCCAUUAAAGCAUCGUCACCUUAUGUGUCGCCUUUUGAUAUGCCUGUUGUGGAGUUGGCUUAAAGUUUUUUGGAGACGUAAUAAAAGCUGAUUGUGUAAAAGUCUAAAUUUAACAUCUGGUUUCUUGCUGGUAAAUCUUCAUUAAGUAUUUUCCUUCAAAAUCACUUUCAGAUUGUAAUGAAAUCAGCAAUAAAUGUGGAAAAUUACUUUUGGUACCACUUUUAUAAUAGGGUCUGAACUAAGGGUGUAAUUCAACCGGAAUUUACUGGAAUUAAUAUCAUUUAGUCUGAAAUUACAGUGUGAUUAUGUUAAUCUACACAUACUUAUGGGUGAAUGAACUACAAUAAGGAGUGUAUCAGCAGGGUAUAAGAAGUCAAGUUUUUACUGGAAAAAUGUUUUACUGCAAGUAAUUUCAUUGUAAUUUUACAGGAGGAAACACAUUAUAUAGGAAGUAAGAAAAAUGAUAUAGUAAGUACAUAGUAACUAAUUUUAAAUAGUGCGUGAAUUACUUUAAAGUAGUGCAAAAUUCAUUGUAAGAGGUGUGUUACUUCCAGGUAAUUUUGCGGAAGAGUGUAGUGUAGUAGCUUUUGUGUACAAACACAAAAUAAACCAAAGAUAUGACUGAAAUGUACAAAUGAAAAACAAACCUAAAAGUAUUCAUAGCUAAAAAAAAAACCCAGUUUAUUCUUGUUGUGAAUGUGCAUUAAAAUGAUUCUAUUAGUCUUUUUUCACUCAUAUUAAUCAGGUUUUUUUUACCCCUCUGUCAUAAAAGGCUAAUGGGGUUAAAAUGCUGAUGUCAUCCACCCACAGUAGUUAUUUCUUUCUUCACCCUGCCCGGUGGAUGGGUGGGUGGCAUGAACGCCCAAGUCUGUAAAUCACUGACUCCAUCACUGUACGACUUCAUGGGCCUUGAUGGACGUCCUGCGAUGUUUGGUGGAGUUUGUUUUUCUUGUAAGGACUGAAAGGAAGAACGGUCCUUAUCACAUGUUAUAUAACAGGACAGGUGAAUAGUGGAACAUCCAUAAAGCAAAAAGACGAGUUCAGUCCACCACUGCUUACAGUUACUUACACACUAUUUAAAAUUGCUCUCAGUAUAAUUUGAGUCUCCUUUCCUGUAAAAACCUGAACUGUUACCCUUUUAUUCUGCACUGUGUACUGGAUAAGGAUUCGUAGGUAAAUACACUGUAAUUUCAUUUAAUUUUUGGUGAAUUACACCCUUAGCAAUGGGUCAUAUUUUAAAAAUGCUACUUGAAUUGUAAACACUGUGCACAUGAUGUUUACCGAGUACAGAGCUUUAGUAUCUCUGAACAUUUGCAGUCUGUCUUUUUGACUGUCGUCCACAUUUCACUUUCUGUUUCAUGUCUUUAUUUUUUCUUCCUGUAUUUCUUUUGUGCUAUUCUUCAUAACAAAUCGCUGCCCCACACUCGUAGCUCUGGUGUGAGCCCUGGAUGGAGAGGUUUGUGACAGUUCGAUUAUGAGUGUUGUGGUGGUGUUACUCAUAAUGAGAGAGCGCCUCCUCCUGACCGCUGAACUGUAGUGCAGAAUGACCCCGAUGCUUUCCCUCGCACUUCCCCUCUCUCCUGCACGGUUGUUAGUGUCUAGACCUGCAGACUGUGACUCACAACCACUCACAUAGAGAUCUGUUUACCUAGCACUUAAUAUAUGAGACACUGCUAUAAUGAUUAAUAGUUAUUAAUCUCAGCUAAGGCUGUAUUUGAAUCACUCGACCUGCACCAGAAAUGGGUUUAGUUGCUCACGUGCAUCCUUUUGUUUUUCCUCAUCUUUAUCUCCUGGAUUGUAAUUAAUGCCUCAUACUGAGGCUGUGUCAGCGGCUCCAUCGCGGCUUUGUUAAUAUUGAU